RNAcentral lists this ribosomal RNA (456 nucleotides) under uncultured bacterium. Its description in RNAcentral is "bacterial SSU rRNA". It matches the Rfam family "Bacterial small subunit ribosomal RNA", at positions 340 to 789 of the family's 1533-position model. The record is from RNAcentral.
UACGGGAGGCAGCAGUGGGGAAUAUUGCACAAUGGGCGCAAGCCUGAUGCAGCCAUGCCGCGUGUAUGAAAAAGGCCUUCGGGUUGUAAAGUACUUUCAGUCGUGAGGAAGGUGUUAAGGUUAAUAACCUUAGCAAUUGACGUUAGCGACAGAAGAAGCACCGGCUAACUCCGUGCCAGCAGCCGCGGUAAUACGGAGGGUGCGAGCGUUAAUCGGAAUUACUGGGCUAAAGGGCACGCAGGCGGUUAAUUAAGUUGGAUGUGAAAUCCCCGGGCUUAACCUGGGAAUGGCAUUCAAGCUGGUUAGCUAGAGUCUUGUAGAGGGGGUUAGAAUUCCAUGUGUAGCGGUGAAAUGCGUAGAGAUGUGGAGGAAUACCGGUGGCGAAGGCGGCCCCUGGACAAAGACUGACGCUCAUGUGCGAAAGCGUGGGGAGCAAACGAGGGAUUAGAUACCCGU